ACACUCACUUUGGCAGCACAUAUACUAAAAUUGGAAGGAUACAGAGAAGAUUAUCAUGGCCCCUAUGCAAGGAUGGCAUGCAAAUUUGUGAAGUGUUCCAUAUUUCU
Molecule: small nuclear RNA, 107 nt
Filed under: Jaculus jaculus (lesser Egyptian jerboa)
Lineage: Eukaryota; Metazoa; Chordata; Mammalia; Rodentia; Dipodidae
Source: RNAcentral